UACGUAGGUGGCAAGCGUUGUCCGGAUUUACUGGGCGUAAAGAGCGCGCAGGCGGUCGUUCAAGUCGCGUGUGAAAGCCCCCGGCUCAACUGGGGAGGGUCACGCGAUACUGAUCGACUCGAAGGCAGGAGAGGGUAGUGGAAUUCCCGGUGUAGUGGUGAAAUGCGUAGAUAUCGAGAGGAACACCUGCGGCGAAGGCGGGUUGCUGGGCUGACACUGACGCUGAGGCGCGAAAGCUAGGGGAGCGAACGGG
Molecule: ribosomal RNA, 253 nt
Filed under: uncultured bacterium
Lineage: Bacteria
Description: partial 16S ribosomal RNA
Rfam family: Bacterial small subunit ribosomal RNA
Source: RNAcentral